UACAUGACAGAGGGUGCACUGCAAAGGA
This 28-nucleotide non-coding RNA is filed under the name Homo sapiens (human). Lineage: Eukaryota; Metazoa; Chordata; Mammalia; Primates; Hominidae. The record is from RNAcentral.